This 329-nucleotide unclassified non-coding RNA is filed under the name soil metagenome. RNAcentral describes it as "partial contains 5.8S ribosomal RNA, internal transcribed spacer 2, and large subunit ribosomal RNA". The stretch from base 1 to 120 matches the Rfam family "5.8S ribosomal RNA", at positions 35 to 154 of the family's 154-position model. The record is from RNAcentral.
GAUGAAGAACGUAGCGAAAUGCGAUAAGUAGUGUGAAUUGCAGAAUUCAGUGAAUCAUCGAAUCUUUGAACGCACAUUGCGCCCCUUGGUAUCCCGAGGGGCAUGCCUGUUCGAGCGUCAUUUCACCACUCAAGCCUGGCUUGGUGUUGGGCGACGUCCCCUUUGGGGACGCGCCUCGAAACGCUCGGCGGCGUGGCACCGGCUUUAAGCGUAGCAGAAUCUUUCGCUUUGGAAUUCGGGGCCCCGUCUGCCGGAAGACCUACUCGCAAGGUUGACCUCGGAUCAGGCAGGGAUACCCGCUGAACUUAAGCAUAUCAAUAAGCGGAGGA